This 319-nucleotide ribosomal RNA is filed under the name uncultured bacterium. RNAcentral's name for it is "bacterial SSU rRNA". It matches the Rfam family "Bacterial small subunit ribosomal RNA", at positions 193 to 507 of the family's 1533-position model. The record is from RNAcentral.
GGGAGGCUCUUCGGAGCUUUCGCUGAAGGAGGGGCUUGCGUCUGAUUAGCUAGUUGAGGGUAACGGCCACCAAGGCGACGGAUCAGUAGCCGGUCUGAGAGGAUGAACGGCCACAUUGGGACUGAGACACGGCCCAGACUCCUACGGGAGGCAGCAGUGGGGGAAUCUUCCGCAAUGGACGAAAGUCUGACGGAGCAACGCCGCGUGAACGAUGACGGCCUUCGGGUUGUAAAGUUCUGUUAUACGGGACGAAUGGCGUAGCGGUCAAUACCCGUUACGAGUGACGGUACCGUAAGAGAAAGCCACGGCUAACUACGUG